UACGUAGGGACCGAGCGUUGUCCGGAAUCAUUGGGCGUAAAGAGCGUGUAGGCGGCCUUUUAAGUCCUGCGUGAAAUCCUGCGGCUCAACCGCAGACGGUCGUGGGAAACUGGAAGGCUAGAGUGCGGGAGAGGAGAGUGGAAUUCCCGGUGUAGCGGUGAAAUGCGCAGAUAUCGGGAAGAACACCCGUGGCGAAGGCGGCGACCUGGGUCGAUACUGACGCUGAGGUGCGAAAGCGUGGGGAGCAAACAGG
This 253-nucleotide ribosomal RNA is filed under the name uncultured bacterium. Its description in RNAcentral is "partial 16S ribosomal RNA". It matches the Rfam family "Bacterial small subunit ribosomal RNA", at positions 524 to 776 of the family's 1533-position model. The record is from RNAcentral.